RNAcentral lists this ribosomal RNA (426 nucleotides) under uncultured bacterium. RNAcentral's name for it is "bacterial SSU rRNA". It matches the Rfam family "Bacterial small subunit ribosomal RNA", at positions 354 to 796 of the family's 1533-position model. The record is from RNAcentral.
GUGGGGAAUCUUGCGCAAUGGGCGAAAGCCUGACGCAGCAACGCCGCGUGCGGGAAGAAGGCUUUCGGGCUGUAAACCGCUUUCAGCAGGAACGAAAAUGACGGUACCUGCAGAAGAAGGAGCGGCCAACUAUGUGCCAGCAGCCGCGGUGAUACAUAGGCUUCAAGCGUUGUCCGGAUUUAUUGGGCGUAAAGAGUUCGUAGGCGGUCGAGUAAGUCGGGUGUGAAAACUCUGGGCUUAACCCGGAGACGCCAUCCGAUACUGCUCUGACUAGAGUUCAGGAGGGGAGUGGGGAAUUCCUAGUGUAGCGGUGAAAUGCGCAGAUAUUAGGAGGAACACCGGUGGCGAAGGCGCCACUCUGGACUGAAACUGACGCUGAGGAGCGAAAGCAUGGGUAGCAAACAGGAUUAGAAACCCGAGUAGUCC